Molecule: long non-coding RNA, 1075 nt
Filed under: Sus scrofa (pig)
Lineage: Eukaryota; Metazoa; Chordata; Mammalia; Artiodactyla; Suidae
Description: lncRNA (ENSSSCG00070022903.1)
Source: RNAcentral
AUACUAUAUACACACACACACACACACACACACACACACACACACACAUAUAUAUAUAAAGAAAUGUAGAGAGAGAGUGGGAGAUAAAGAAAUGUAAUAUUAUAUAUUAUGCAACUCAUCAAAAAAUGAGCAGAAACUAAGAAUAAAAGAAUAAAGUAAGAAAGUGGAGGGAGAGGACAAGAUGGCGGAGGAGUAGGGGGACAUGCUCGCCCUCUCCCACAAACACAACAAAAAAAGCACAUCUACAGAAGAAAUGACUCGCACAGAACAACAACCAAUCGCUGGCAGAGGAACCUAAACUCCAAUAACGGCAAGAAGUUCGUGACAUUAUUGGGCAGAACGGGAGAAAAGAGGAGAGUGAGAGAAGGUGAAUCCGAGCGGGACGGGCGCUCCCGAAAGGGAACUGCGGAGGAGAAAGGGAUCCCGCACCCUGGAAAGUCUCCUACCGGGCGAAAGAUCAAACGAACCGGAGGAAUCUCCAGAUGCAGAGAAGAGUGUAGCAGUAAGUCGGAGUAUGGAAAAACGAUCAAGAACCCAACGGACCAUCUGAACUACGGGCACAGUCACCAAAAAUUGAGACGCCUGGGUGGGGGCUGGGCACCGAAUCCUCGGCUCCAGAGGUUAGUCCCCGGGAAAGGGCCGGGGGACGCCUGGGUGGGGGCUGGGCACCGAGACCUCAGCUCUGAAGGUUGGUCCCCGAGAGGGGGCCGGGGGACGCCUGGGUUGGGGCUGGGCACCGAGACCUCGCCUCCGAAGGUUAGUCCCAAGAAAGGGCCGGGGGGCGCCGCCUGGGGGGGCUGGGCACCGAGACCUCGGCUCCAGAGAUUAGUCCCCGGGCUAGGGGGGCGGGGAAGAGCGGAAACUGCUUGGGAGGUCUCUAAACCAUUUGACGGGGCAGAGACUGCCUGGGAGACUAGAAAACAAAGCUGUCGCAGAGGAAGGGAGCAAUACUCUAGGGGCGGGGAAGGGGAAAGCCGCCUCAGAGGGAACCUGGGAGAAGAGCCUGGUCUGCGCCCGUGCUGGGGAGGGGAGAGAAGAAGGGGUGGGUCCCCAUAGAAUACCCCCACGCCACAGC